This 566-nucleotide ribosomal RNA is filed under the name uncultured Gemmatimonadota bacterium. RNAcentral's name for it is "SSU rRNA". It matches the Rfam family "Bacterial small subunit ribosomal RNA", at positions 242 to 808 of the family's 1533-position model. The record is from RNAcentral. Lineage: Bacteria; Pseudomonadati; Gemmatimonadota.
CAGCUAGUUGGCGAGGUAACGGCUCGCCAAGGCGAUGACGGGUAGCUGGUCUGAGAGGAUGGCCAGCCACAUUGGGACUGAGAGACGGCCCAGACUCCUACGGGAGGCAGCAGUGGGGAAUCUUGCGCAAUGGCCGAAAGGCUGACGCAGCGACGCCGCGUGCGGGAUGACGGCCUUCGGGUUGUAAACCGCUGUUGCCCGGGACGAACAACUGGCUUCGGCCAGUCUGACGGUACCGGGUGAGGAAGCACCGGCUAACUCUGUGCCAGCAGCCGCGGUAAUACAGAGGGUGCGAGCGUUGUCCGGAAUCACUGGGCGUAAAGGGCGCGUAGGCGGUCUUUUAAGCGUGUGGUGAAAGCUCGGGGCUCAACCCCGAGUCGGCCGUGCGAACUGGGAGACUGGAGCAGAUCAGAGGCAGGCGGAAUUCCGGGUGUAGCGGUGGAAUGCGUAGAGAUCCGGAAGAACACCGGUGGCGAAGGCGGCCUGCUGGGAUCUUGCUGACGCUGAGGCGCGACAGCGUGGGGAGCAAACAGGAUUAGAUACCCUGGUAGUCCACGCCGUAAACG